RNAcentral lists this ribosomal RNA (495 nucleotides) under uncultured bacterium. RNAcentral's name for it is "partial 16S ribosomal RNA". It matches the Rfam family "Bacterial small subunit ribosomal RNA", at positions 28 to 507 of the family's 1533-position model. The record is from RNAcentral.
GAUGAACGCUGGCGGCGUGCCUAAUACAUGCAAGUAGAACGCUGAAGGAGGAGCUUGCUCUUCUGGAUGAGUUGCGAACGGGUGAGUAACGCGUAGGUAACCUGCCUGGUAGCGGGGGAUAACUAUUGGAAACGAUAGCUAAUACCGCAUGACAACAGUUAUUGCAUGAUAACUGUUUAAAAGGGGCAACUGCUCCACUACCAGAUGGACCUGCGUUGUAUUAGCUAGUUGGUGAGGUAACGGCUCACCAAGGCGACGAUACAUAGCCGACCUGAGAGGGUGAUCGGCCACACUGGGACUGAGACACGGCCCAGACUCCUACGGGAGGCAGCAGUAGGGAAUCUUCGGCAAUGGACGGAAGUCUGACCGAGCAACGCCGCGUGAGUGAAGAAGGUUUUCGGAUCGUAAAGCUCUGUUGCAAGAGAAGAACGAGUGUGAGAGUGGAAAGUUCACACUGUGACGGUAGCUUACCAGAAAGGGACGGCUAACUACGUG